Molecule: non-coding RNA, 71 nt
Organism: Danio rerio (zebrafish)
Lineage: Eukaryota; Metazoa; Chordata; Actinopteri; Cypriniformes; Danionidae
Source: Rfam
GCAUUGGUGGUUCAGUGGAAGAAUUCUUGCCUGCUACGCGGGAGACCCUGGUCUGUUUUCUGGCCAAUGCA